ACGGAGCAGUGACACCUCCGCGCCCUGACGGAAUAGGGCGUUGAAGGGCGUAGGCUAUGAUGAUGCCAGGCAAAUCCGGCAUCAGAGCUGAAACCUGAAAGUACGGGGUCCCCUUCGGGGGAACCUGAGAGCGAGGGUAACCAUACUCCCGAGAAAAUGGGCUAAACUCAUGUUGGCGGUACCCGUACCGCAAACCGACACAGGUAGUUGGGUAGAACAUACUAAGGCGUUGAGAGAUUCAUGGCUAAGGAACUAGGCAAACUGACCCCGUAACUUCGGGAUAAGGGGUCCUCACCUCCGGGUGAGGCGCAGAGAAUAGGUCCAGGCAACUGUUUAACAAAAACACAGGGCUGUGCGAACUCGAAAGAUGAAGUAUACAGCCUGACACCUGCCCGGUGCCGGAAGGUUAAGAGGAGAUGUCACCGCAAGGGAAGCAUUGAAUUGAAGCCCCGGUAAACGGCGGCCGUAACAAUAACGGUCCUAAGGUAGCGAAAUUCCUUGUCGGGUAAGUUCCGACCUGCACGAAUGGUGUAAUGAUCCGGACGCUGUCUCGGCCAUGAGCUCAGUGAAAUUGUAGUAUCGGUGAAGAUGCCGAUUACCCGCGAUGGGACGAAAAGACCCCGUGAACCUUUACUACAGCUUAGCAUUGACCUUGGUCAUCCGAUGUGUAGGAUAGGCCGGAGGCUUCGAAGCGGCGUCGCCAGGCGUUGUGGAGCCAUCCUUGAAAUACGGCCCUUUGGCUGUCUGAGGUCUAACGCGGAUAGUCGCGGACACUGCUUGGUGGGUAGUUUGACUGGGGUGGUCGCCUCCAAAAGCGUAACGGAGGCUUCCAAAGGUGCCCUCGGGCCGUUUGGUAAGCGGCCUUCAAGAGUGCAAUGGCAAAAGGGCGCUUGACUGGGAGGGAGACAUCCCGAGCAGGCAGGAAACUGGGGCAUAGUGAUCCGGCGGGUGUGUAUGGAAACUCCGUCGCUCAAAGGAUAAAAGGUACUCCGGGGAUAACAGGCUGAUCCCCCCCAAGAGCUCAUAUCGACGGGGUGGUUUGGCACCUCGAUGUCGGCUCGUCACAUCCUGGGGCUGGAGAAGGUCCCAAGGGUUGGGCUGUUCGCCCAUUAAAGUGGCACGCGAGCUGGGUUCAGAACGUCGUGAGACAGUUCGGUCUCUAUCUAUCGUGGGCGCAGGAGUUUUGAGUGGUGCUGUCACUAGUACGAGAGGACCGUGACGGACAGACCUCCGGUGUACCGGUUGUGCCGCCAGGCGCACCGCCGGGUAUCCGCGUCUGGAUCGGAUAAGCGCUGAAAGCAUCUAAGUGCGAAGCUUUCCACGAGAUUAGAACUCCAUUGAGGGUCGUCGCAGACGACGACGUUGAUAGGGCGCAGGUGUAAAGACGGCGACGUCAAAGCCGAGCGCUACUAAUUGCC
Molecule: ribosomal RNA, 1418 nt
Filed under: metagenome
Description: bacterial LSU rRNA
Rfam family: Bacterial large subunit ribosomal RNA
Source: RNAcentral